Long non-coding RNA from Mus pahari (shrew mouse), 540 nucleotides. RefSeq lists it as uncharacterized. The record is from RefSeq and is a predicted model, not a curated record. NCBI's taxonomy places the organism in Eukaryota, Metazoa, Chordata, Mammalia, Rodentia, Muridae. The transcript has 3 exons.
UGGAAAGAAUCGCACUUACACCGAACCUUUUCGAGGCUGUGUGAUUAACUACAAAACCAUCAAAGAUUUUUGAGAUGUUGGAAUGUUGCAGGGUCAGAGUCUAGUUAUACUGGAUGAGCUUUACCCCCUUAAUAGGCAUUCAUUAUUUACUUUUCUAUGUAACCUAACAUGUCUGUGACCAGGAAGUACAUCUUUUGGAGUAUACAAGCAGACCACUAACUUCCACCAAUGAGAAGACGAAGAACGCUAUCAGCUAGCAUCUGAUGCCUGUUGAAAUAAUCUGCUGGAAUUCAAAAUACAAUUACCAUGCUUGACCAAUUUCCUGUAUCCUGGAGCUGACCAUUAUUAAUGGCAUCCAAUUAUUCAUAGCGAUCAAGCAGUCGACCUUGCUAAGUAGAUCACAGUGGUUGGCAUUUGACAGUCAGCCUGCUGGAUGUGCAUAAUGGAAGGAGACAAUGUCAUAUCCUGGUUGUCCUCAGGUGGUUGUGAGCAGUAAAAUGAUGUAAUUACCACAGAACGAUCAGGUAAGCAAAAAACCAC